This 53-nucleotide non-coding RNA is filed under the name Homo sapiens (human). The record is from RNAcentral. Lineage: Eukaryota; Metazoa; Chordata; Mammalia; Primates; Hominidae.
GCUAAAGAUAUAAAAAAUUAGCCCGGCGUGGUGGUGCACGCCUGUAAUCCCAG